GUCAGACCAUCAGUCUCUUUCAGCAGCAAACAUGGACAUUACAUGUAAAACACACUGUCCUCCACUGAGACAGUCCAACAUUUGGACACGAAAAGCUCCAACAGAGAGGAGAAAGGAAAUCCCUCAGUAACAACCUGAAGAAACUCACUGAAGCCUAAAAGCACAUCAGGAAACUAAGGAAACAUUUCUGGAAGCUCAACCUGAUUUAACAAUCAGCAUUAAAAUCCAAUCAAUCUAAACUCUGAUCAACACCUGGAUACCUGCUCCAUCCACACUCCCACACACAGAUGAAGGAAUGAAACACUAAACAACCUGCUGCUGAAAACCUGCUGUGGCCUCACUGGAAUAUCCAGAAAUACAAACAUUAAAAAGGAGAAGCUGCAUCACAUUCAACAAAGAGUU
Poecilia latipinna (sailfin molly) is the source of this 402-nucleotide long non-coding RNA. RefSeq lists it as uncharacterized. The record is from RefSeq and is a predicted model, not a curated record. The transcript is spliced from 2 exons. Lineage: Eukaryota; Metazoa; Chordata; Actinopteri; Cyprinodontiformes; Poeciliidae.